This 94-nucleotide ribosomal RNA is filed under the name Vibrio alginolyticus. The record is from RNAcentral. Lineage: Bacteria; Pseudomonadati; Pseudomonadota; Gammaproteobacteria; Vibrionales; Vibrionaceae. RNAcentral also lists the same sequence under 2 other names.
CCCACCUGAUUUCCAUGCCGAACUCAGAAGUGAAACGAAAUAGCGCCGAUGGUAGUGUGGGGCUUCCCCAUGUGAGAGUAGGACAUCGCCAGGC